GCAUUAGUAGCUCAGUGUCAGAGCGCCGGUCUUGUAAACCGGAGGCCGAGAGUUAAAGCCUCUCCUACUGCU
This 72-nucleotide transfer RNA is filed under the name Monacanthus ciliatus (fringed filefish). RNAcentral's name for it is "tRNA-Thr". It matches the Rfam family "tRNA". From Rfam's summary of the family: Transfer RNA (tRNA) molecules are approximately 80 nucleotides in length. Their secondary structure includes four short double-helical elements and three loops (D, anti-codon, and T loops). Lineage: Eukaryota; Metazoa; Chordata; Actinopteri; Tetraodontiformes; Monacanthidae. The record is from RNAcentral.